AGCACCGCCCGGGCCAAAGCGGCGUCGGGGGCUGCGGGCGGGGCGGGGAACGGGAGCGCGGCGAGGAGCAGAGGAGGAGGAGGAGGAAAGGUAAAAGAGGGCCGGGAGGGGGGGAAGCUCGGCUCCUCGGAGGGGUCCGCUGUCGGCGCGAACGCAGGUCGCUGCUCUACACGCGGGCACGGCGCGAGCUACGGGCACGCACCGAAGCUGAGCUUCGCCCUGACGGUGUGACCCUUCUGCUACGCGGAGAUUUGCCGGGUUUGCUUUGCAACUCGUUUUCCAUCCACGGUGCUGUUUCACCGGGGGAAGCGCGCGGUCGCAGAAAUAAACCGCUCUGGUGACAAAGCUGAAAGGUGCUUUCGGACUCAUUCGCGUUUGCACGGGCUUUCUCUUUGGGGGUGAAUGCGAGCCGUCGUUUCAGUCUGAACAGGUUGAACUGCAUAGGCAUAUACGAUAAUUUUGAUGCCAUCAAAAGGAAGCAGCUGUAAAAAGAGAUGCUGUAUUCCAUGGAAAUAAAACUGGGAGCAGUGCAAUUUCUCCUUGAGCUUUUCUGAACGUCAGCUGAAGGCUUAAGAGGUGAUGUCUGAGGAACAACCAUAAGUUGCCAAGCUGGAGCUUCCUCUAGUUCAUGUGGCCCUCAUUUACACCCAAAGAGCGAGAGGAGACCAAGGGCCGUUAAUUUUAAGACAUCUAUAAUAAAAAAAGUUAUCUCUUGUCGGCAGUGGCAGGGAAAAAAAGAUAAAAGGUGCUGUGUGGUGCGAUUGCUGGCAGAUGGCACUGUUGGGAGCCCAGAUCUUCGCGGCGCGCAGCAGCAUGGCAGGGAGGGGAUGGGGCUGCUUCCACAAUUAACCUGAACCACAGAUCUGUUUACAGCAAUCUAAUCCAUAUGUGCUAAUAUCUUGCUGCUACACGAGUGAAACUCUCUCUUGGAUUGUUCUCAGAAUGUACUUUCUGCACAUCUGGCUUCAUAUGAACAGGGCAUUUGCUUCUACUGUUCCUGCAAGGAAUACAGCAUACCUUAUUCCAUCUGGAAGCAAAACAAAAGACAGCAUUACAGUGAAAUCCUCAGUAUUGUUAUUUUCCAGAUACAAAGCUCAAGUAAUUUAAGAAUCCUUCCCUUCCCUUCCCUUCCCUUCCCUUCCCUUCCCUUCCCUUCCCUUCCCUUCCCUUCCCUUCCCUUCCCUUCCCUUCCCUUCCCUUCCCUUCCCUUCCCUUCCCUUCCCUUCCCUUCCCUUCCCUUCCCUUCCCUUUCCCCUUUCCUUUCCUUUUUUUCUUCCUUUUUUUUUCUUUUUUUUUUCUUUUUAAAUAAAAUUGUCUGUGCAACUUCUUGGCUUCUGAUUUACUUGAAAGUACAACCAUUUCAUGCAAUAUCCAAUCUAUUCAACUGACUAUCACACAUAUAGGACAAUGAAAUUACAGUCAUAAACAACUUCUUUUC
RNAcentral lists this long non-coding RNA (1438 nucleotides) under Gallus gallus (chicken). RNAcentral's name for it is "lncRNA (ENSGALG00010020062.1)". Lineage: Eukaryota; Metazoa; Chordata; Aves; Galliformes; Phasianidae. The record is from RNAcentral.